AUGGCUUCCCGCCUCAUAACCAGAUCAACGGCCGCGGUCCUCCUCUCCCACCUCCGCUCCAGGACGCCGAAUCCUACCCACCACCUCCUCACACAUGGAGCUGCCAUGUCCUCCCUUCUGGGACCCACUCACGGCCUUCCUGCCACCGCCAGAUCACGCCCCCUCCUCGAGCCGACUCGGUGGUUCUCUUCGCCGGCGCCGGUGGUGGAGGCGCCGAGGACGGUUGACGGCCUGACUGUGGACUCUAUUGCCGACAAGGGCUGGACGAUCCUCGCCGAGGCCGAGAGCGACUGGCGCAGCCACGCCGCCGCCGUCGCGCAGUCCAUCAGGCUUAUUAAGAAGCGUCUCAAGUGGAAAUGGUUACUGGAGAGGUCGAAGCAGUUGGCUGUGGUAUUGGAGAAGCCAGACCUCUGGGAGGAUCCAGUUUUUGCUGGGAAUGUUAGUCGUGAACAAGGCGAGCUCAUGGGCAAGAUUAAGUCAGUGAACCAAUUCGAGCAACAAUUGAUGGAGCACAUCGACAUGUUGAGGCUUGCACGUGAAGAGGGUGACAAUGAACUCGAGACGGAAUCCAUGCGAGCAUUGGCCGAUAUGAGAAGAGAUGCAAAGGAGAAAGAACUCAAUGCAUUGCUUUCUGGAGAUAAUGACGUUUACCCUUGCUUCAUUGAGGUCCAAGCAGGAGCCGGAGGCGUUGAGAGCAUGGAUUGGGCUGCCAUGGUUAUGAACAUGUACAGAUCAUGGGCUCAGAGACGGGGAUACAGAGUCACUAUAAUAGAAGAAAUACCUGGUGAACUAGCAGGAAUCAAGGUUUGCUUGUUUUAUUUUUUUCAUCACUUCACACCACUCAAUCCGAGGGCUACUAUCAAAGUUGAUGGUGAGUAUGCAUUUGGAUAUGCGAAAUCUGAAAUAGGAGUUCACAGAUUAGUGCGGAUUUCUCCAUUUGACAGUGGAAAGCGGCGGCACACUUCCUUUGCUGCUGUCGCUGUCAUACCUAUUCUUGGUGAGGCCUCUAGCCGAUACCAGAUAAACGAAUCGGAUCUUCGGAUAGAACGCUUCCGUUCUGGUGGACCUGGCGGCCAGCAUGCCAACACCACAGAAAGUGCUGUUAGAAUUGUGCACAUCCCAACUGGUACAACGGCAACUUGUCAAAAUGAAAGGUCACAACAUAUGAAUAGGGCAUCAGCAAUGGCGGUGCUUCAAUCUAGGUUGGACCAGCUUGAGAUUACCCGUCAAGCGCAGAUGAAUGCAGAGCACACGCAAUCACUGUCUGAAAUAAGCUGGGGAAACCAAAUAAGAUCGUAUGUGCUACAGCCAUACCGUAUGGUCAAAGAUCUCCGGACAAACUAUGAAGUGUCUGAUCCCGAUUCAGUCCUGGAAGGCGACCUGGAUGAUUUCAUACUGAGCUUUUUGUCAUUAUCAUUGGAUAAAGUUGAUGAAAGUGUCUGA
RNAcentral lists this ribosomal RNA (1443 nucleotides) under Triticum aestivum (bread wheat). RNAcentral's name for it is "partial small subunit ribosomal RNA". The record is from RNAcentral. Lineage: Eukaryota; Viridiplantae; Streptophyta; Magnoliopsida; Poales; Poaceae.